This 446-nucleotide ribosomal RNA is filed under the name uncultured bacterium. RNAcentral's name for it is "partial 16S ribosomal RNA". It matches the Rfam family "Bacterial small subunit ribosomal RNA", at positions 338 to 795 of the family's 1533-position model. The record is from RNAcentral.
CCUACGGGCGGCAGCAGUCGAGAAUCAUUCACAAUGGGGGAAACCCUGAUGGUGCGACGCCGCGUGGGGGAAUGAAGGUCUUCGGAUUGUAAACCCCUGUCAUGUGGGAGCAAAUUAAAAAGAUAGUACCACAAGAGGAAGAGACGGCUAACUCUGUGCCAGCAGCCGCGGUAAUACAGAGGUCUCAAGCGUUGUUCGGAAUCACUGGGCGUAAAGCGUGCGUAGGCUGUUUCGUAAGUCGUGUGUGAAAGGCGCGGGCUCAACCCGCGGACGGCACAUGAUACUGCGAGACUAGAGUAAGGGAGGGGGAACCGGAAUUCUCGGUGUAGCAGUGAAAUGCGUAGAUAUCGAGAGGAACACUCGUGGUGAAGGCGGGUUCCUGGACAUUAACUGACGCUGAGGCACGAAGGCCAGGGGAGCGAAAGGGAUUAGAUACCCGUGUAGUC